This is a long non-coding RNA of Mustela erminea (ermine), 409 nucleotides long. RefSeq lists it as uncharacterized. The record is from RefSeq and is a predicted model, not a curated record. Lineage: Eukaryota; Metazoa; Chordata; Mammalia; Carnivora; Mustelidae. The transcript is spliced from 3 exons.
UUCUGGCUGGUAGGGUUUGGGGGCUUGAUACUGUAGGUUCGGGGCUACAGGAAAUGAGCAAAACUGGAAGAAGACUAGUAGGUAACUGCUUUUUUUGGUUCACUCCCCCACCCCUCCAACCAGGAAUUGCCUCUCCCUUUCCUGACCCUGAAUGGUCCUUCUUCCAGAAUUUUUCUCUGUAUCCAACACCCACAGAUGGGAGAUGUGACUUCCUUCCAACAUACGGAAUGGAGCAAAGGUGACCGGCUGUCACUUCCAUGAUUAUAUCACGUGAGUCCAAAUGCAGCCAAUCACCAGCCACCUACACCAUCACCUGGCGGAAGCGGCUGAGGGAAUCAGCUGUGCGCCUGGAAGAGGAAAGGCAGAUUCUGGGAUACUGGAGUCAGAAUAUGCUCAACAGUAUAAAUGG